AGCAGCCGCCGCGGGAAAACGGAGGGUGCAAGCGUUAUCCGGAUUCACUGGGUUUAAAGGGUGCGUAGGCGGGCAGGUAAGUCAGUGGUGAAAUCUUCGAGCUUAACUCGGAAACUGCCGUUGAUACUAUCUGUCUUGAAUAACGUUGAGGUGAGCGGAAUAUGUCAUGUAGCGGUGAAAUGCUUAGAUAUGACAUAGAACACCGAUUGCGAAGGCAGCUCACUAAACGCUCAUUGACGCUGAGGCACGAAAGCGUGGGGAUCAAACAGGAUUAGAUACCCCCGUAGUCCCUGUCUCUUAUAC
Molecule: ribosomal RNA, 303 nt
Filed under: uncultured bacterium
Lineage: Bacteria
Description: partial 16S ribosomal RNA
Rfam family: Bacterial small subunit ribosomal RNA
Source: RNAcentral